UACGUAGGUGGCAAGCGUUGUCCGGAUUUAUUGGGUUUAAAGGGUGCGUAGGCGGCUUUGUAAGUCAGUGGUGAAAUAUGGCAGCUCAACUGUCAGGGUGCCAAUGAUACUGCGGAGCUUGAGUACAGAUGAGGUAGGCGGAAUUGACGGUGUAGCGGUGAAAUGCUUAGAUAUCGUCAAGAACACCGAUAGCGAAGGCAGCUUACUAGGCUGUAACUGACGCUGAGGCACGAAAGUGUGGGGAUCAAACAGG
RNAcentral lists this ribosomal RNA (253 nucleotides) under uncultured bacterium. Its description in RNAcentral is "partial 16S ribosomal RNA". It matches the Rfam family "Bacterial small subunit ribosomal RNA", at positions 524 to 776 of the family's 1533-position model. The record is from RNAcentral.